Molecule: long non-coding RNA, 255 nt
Filed under: Elaeis guineensis (African oil palm)
Lineage: Eukaryota; Viridiplantae; Streptophyta; Magnoliopsida; Arecales; Arecaceae
Description: long non-coding RNA (EGUI_LNC040615)
Source: RNAcentral
UGGGCCCAAUGUUAAAUAGCUUCAGAAACAGUACCGUAUCCCAAAGCAAUUUCAGCUCUUUGCGUCUAGUCCGAAUGGUCGGAUGAAUUCUCCUCCUCUGAGUCAGGUUGCAUUUUAUGUCGAAGAUCUUCGGACCGAUCGUUGAUUUUUGAUUUUGAAGUUUGUCCAAAAUCUUCUUGACUAUUACCGUCUGUGUCCCGCUCAGCUGGCUCUGAACUCCAUUCGGCUGAUUAUCAGCUUUGCUCUAUUGUGUCA